Helicoverpa armigera (cotton bollworm) is the source of this 416-nucleotide long non-coding RNA. RefSeq lists it as uncharacterized. The transcript is spliced from 2 exons. The record is from RefSeq and is a predicted model, not a curated record. Lineage: Eukaryota; Metazoa; Arthropoda; Insecta; Lepidoptera; Noctuidae.
GAUUUGAGCGCGAAUCCUGACAAUACAUGGUACGUUCUUAGUCACUCCUAUAAAGAUGGGUCGGACACUCAGUGGUCAUCAUUUAGCUCAGUACUUGCUCAGUGACAACAACCUCCAAAAUGUACAAAUUGUUCGUGUUCGCCUGCAUGCUGGUAAUGGCAGCAGCGGCUCCUAACCCAGCUUUGUACUACAGCUCUCCCUACACAGCUGCGUACACCGCGCCCCUGUACUCCGCGUACACAGCGCCCCUAGCGUACUCCGCGUACACAGCACCCCUGGCCUACUCCGCGUAUACAGCACCGGUGGCGUACUCCUCCUCAUACUCCUAUUCCUCGCCUUACUACUUCUUUAAAUAAGCAGUGUUUCUUUAAACCGAGUAUUUUAGCGAACAAAUAAAUUAUUUAGUGUUACUUGCA